This is a long non-coding RNA of Scleropages formosus (Asian bonytongue), 1860 nucleotides long. The record is from Ensembl. NCBI's taxonomy places the organism in Eukaryota, Metazoa, Chordata, Actinopteri, Osteoglossiformes, Osteoglossidae.
AUAAUAAUAUGAAAAUGAUCUUCUGGCUUGACCUGAUGCCCUGGCAGGGUUUUGUGUAUGUAGAGCACAUCUUACCUCGCUUACCUUUGCAAACUCAGACUUCCCCCAUAUAGUAACUGUAAUUUACCUUCUUCUUGCUCGCUCAAGUGGUAGCACAAUGUUCAGUGCUCCUGUCUUUGGACCCAAAGGUGGCAGGUUCAGAUAUGAGCCACUGCUGUAAUAUCCUUGAGCAAUGUACUAACCCUAAACUGCUCCAGUACAAAUUACCCAACUGUUUAAAUGAGUAAAUAAUUGUAAGUUGCUUUGGAAAAAAGUAUAUCAGCUGAGUGGACAAAUUUAGGAGGAUAUUUAAAAAAAAGAGAGGAAAAAAAGGUUUUUUGGAAAGAAAGAAGGUUGUUGAAAAAGCACUGGAAGCAAAGUCACAGAAGUCUGCACACUUCUCCUGUUGUCUGAAACUGUCAUCCAACCUUUUCCUAAAAUACCUUCUAGAUUCUUGCAUGCUGUAAAAUAUAUUUUUUCCUUUAGGGUCCAACAGACAUAAUCCAAGUGAAAAUUCUCAUGUGAUACCAGUGAUCUGCAUCGCAUCCACAGCGGUGCUUAUAGUUAUAAGUUUAAUUCUGAGAAAAAGACUGACAGACCGUUGCAGGUAACACAUUCUCUCAGUCGCUGCCUUGAUUUUUUUUGGGGGGGGGUCUGUAAUUUAUGAAAAAAAUAAUGUCUGGAUAAACGGAACAUGAAAAUACUUUUACAUAAUGCCAACAGGACACAAAGACAAUCAGCAGAAUCCUCUUCUGAGCAGGAGCUGAACGAUGUUGAACCAUACAGCAUGUUCAUACAGAAGAGUAUUGGACUCUAUUCAACCCGGACUUUCGUAAACACCUGAAACAUAGACCGGUUCUCUAAGGUUCUAAGUCUAUACAUUUCAAUGAAUUUAAAUUCACUUAACCACGUGACACAGUUCUGUUUUACAAAACUGAAAGAGAAAGUUUCACAUAUUUCAUGAACAAGAUCUUUUUUAGGUACAGAACCACCUGGGAACUUUUUGUUGAUGAACUGCUGCAAGGUGUAACAAGUAAUGUUCAUAAAUAACAAUCCACCCAUAACAGCGAUAUCUAACUUACUCAAAGCAGCCUCUGAGCAGACCCUUUGACAUUUACUCUGUGUCCUCCAACACCAGGCAGUUCUUCACUUCGGUAUCUUCUGCUUCUGAGAUCACGCUUGCAUGUAGGUGGCUGUUCAGGUACUAUGUAUUGAACGGUUAAAUUGUUUCUGAACACAGCAUCGUGGUGCAAUUAGUAGCUGUGCCACCUCACAGCACCUGAGUGGUGUGAGAGGAUGUGAGUUUGAUCCCCACUCAGUCUGUGUGGAGUUUGCAGGUUCUCCUUGUGUGUGUGUAGGGGUUUCCUCCCACAGUCCAUGCAGUUCAGGUGAAAUGGUGGUGCUACAUUGCCUUUAGACUCGGAAUGAGGGAGACACUGCGUGAGGCUGUGUCACUACUGUGUGAUGGACUGGUGUCCCAACCAGGGUGUGACCCCCUCAGCCUUUGCCCAGUGCCUCCUGGAUGGCCUCUGGUUCACCACAAACCCUGAUCAGGACAAGCAGUAAUUGACACUGGAUGGACGGAUGGAUAAACACAGCCACUGCAGUUAAAAAUUUGCUAACCCAAAGUAACUGGACCCUAAAGAUAUACAAAUGUUUAUUACACACACAACACGCAAUACAAAAAUGUGUAUAACACAUACAGCUGUGGAUUAUGAAAGAGACACGACCUGUAAAUAUGAACUCUUGCAACACAUAUGAAGCAUGUGAGAUGAAAAUAUUACGCAAGUAUUUGUUUAAAUCAAAAUAAAAACAGUCAAG